Molecule: unclassified non-coding RNA, 332 nt
Filed under: soil metagenome
Description: partial contains 5.8S ribosomal RNA, internal transcribed spacer 2, and large subunit ribosomal RNA
Rfam family: 5.8S ribosomal RNA (bases 1-120)
Source: RNAcentral
GAUGAAGAACGCAGCAAAAUGCGAUAAGUAAUGUGAAUUGCAGAAUUCAGUGAAUCAUCGAAUCUUUGAACGCACAUUGCGCCCGCCAGUAUUCUGGCGGGCAUGCCUGUUCGAGCGUCAUUUCAACCCUCAAGCUCAGCUUGGUGUUGGGACUCGCGGUAACCCGCGUUCCCCAAAUCGAUUGGCGGUCACGUCGAGCUUCCAUAGCGUAGUAAUCAUACACCUCGUUACUGGUAAUCGUCGCGGCCACGCCGUAAAACCCCAACUUCUGAAUGUUGACCUCGGAUCAGGUAGGAAUACCCGCUGAACUUAAGCAUACAAUAAGCGGAGGA